Molecule: ribosomal RNA, 497 nt
Filed under: uncultured bacterium
Lineage: Bacteria
Description: partial 16S ribosomal RNA
Rfam family: Bacterial small subunit ribosomal RNA
Source: RNAcentral
GACGAACGCUGGCGGCGUGCCUAAUACAUGCAAGUCGAACGCUGAGGCGAGGAGCUUGCUCUUCUUGGGUGAGUUGCGGACGGGUGAGUAACGCGUAGGUAACCUGCCUUGUAGCGGGGGAUAACUAUUGGAAACGGUAGCUAAUACCGCAUAACAUUGUGUAACACAUGUCAUUUAUUUGAAAGUCGCAAUUGUUGCACUACAUGGUGGACCUCCGUCGUAUUAGGUAGUAGGUGAGGUAAUGGCCCUCCUAGGGGACGAUACAUAGCCGGACUGAGAGGGGGAGCGGCCACCCUGGGACUGAGACCCGGCACAGACUCCCUAGGGAAGGAGCAGUAGGGAAACUUCGGGCAUGGGGGCAAAGCUUAACGAGCAACGCCGAGGGAGGGAAGAAGGGUUUCGGAUCCGAAAGAUCUGUUUUUAGGGGAGAAACGGUGUUAGAGUGGAAAGUUCACACUGUGACGGUAGCUUAUCAGAAAGCGACGGCUAACUACGUG